GUGGGGAAUAUUGGUCAAUGGUCGGAAGACUGAACCAGCCAAGUAGCGUGCAGGAUGACGGCCCUAUGGGUUGUAAACUGCUUUUGUACGGGAAUAACGGUCUUUACGUGUAGAGAUGUGCAUGUACCGUACGAAUAAGGAUCGGCUAACUCCGUGCCAGCAGCCGCGGUAAUACGGAGGAUCCGAGCGUUAUCCGGAUUUAUUGGGUUUAAAGGGAGCGUAGGCGGAAGAUCAAGUCAGCUGUGAAAUGUAGACGCUCAACGUCUGCACUGCAGUUGAAACUGGUUUUCUUGAGUGCGUAAGGGGCAGGCGGAAUUCGUCGUGUAGCGGUGAAAUGCUUAGAUAUGACGAAGAACUCCGAUCGCGAAGGCAGCUUGCCGGGCCGCAACUGACGCUGAAGCUCGAAGGUGCGGGUAUCGAACAGG
Molecule: ribosomal RNA, 425 nt
Filed under: uncultured rumen bacterium
Lineage: Bacteria
Description: bacterial SSU rRNA
Rfam family: Bacterial small subunit ribosomal RNA
Source: RNAcentral